ACGGGUGAGUAACACGUGGGUAACCUGCCCAUCAGAGGGGGAUAACAUUCGGAAACGGAUGCUAAAACCGCAUAGGUUCUUGAGUCGCAUGACCCGAGAAGGAAAAGAGGCUUCGGCUUCUGCUGAUGGAUGGACCCGCGGUGCAUUAGCUAGUUGGUGAGGUAACGGCUCACCAAGGCCGUGAUGCAUAGCCGACCUGAGAGGGUGAUCGGCCACAUUGGGACUGAGACACGGCCCAAACUCCUACGGGAGGCAGCAGUAGGGAAUCUUCCGCAAUGGACGCAAGUCUGACGGAGCAACGCCGCGUGAGUGAAGAAGGAUUUCGGUUCGUAAAACUCUGUUGUUAGAGAAGAACAGCGCAUAGAGUAACUGUUAUGCGUGUGACGGUAUCUAACCAGAAAGCCACGGCUAACUACGUGCCAGCAGCCGCGGUAAUACGUAGGUGGCAAGCGUUGUCCGGAAUUAUUGGGCGUAAAGCGCGCGCAGGCGGAUUGGUCAGUCUGUCUUAAAAGUUCGGGGCUUAACCCCGUGAUGGGAUGGAAACUGCCAAUCUAGAGUAUCGGAGAGGAAAGUGGAAUUCCUAGUGUAGCGGUGAAAUGCGUAGAUAUUAGGAAGAACACCAGUGGCGAAAGGCGACUUUCUGGACGAAAACUGACGCUG
This 660-nucleotide ribosomal RNA is filed under the name uncultured bacterium. Its description in RNAcentral is "bacterial SSU rRNA". It matches the Rfam family "Bacterial small subunit ribosomal RNA", at positions 102 to 748 of the family's 1533-position model. The record is from RNAcentral.